Molecule: ribosomal RNA, 497 nt
Filed under: uncultured bacterium
Lineage: Bacteria
Description: partial 16S ribosomal RNA
Rfam family: Bacterial small subunit ribosomal RNA
Source: RNAcentral
GAUGAACGCUGGCGGCGUGCCUAAUACAUGCAAGUCGAGCGAACAGACGAGGAGCUUGCUCCUCUGACGUUAGCGGCGGACGGGUGAGUAACACGUGGAUAACCUACCUAUAAGACUGGGAUAACUUCGGGAAACCGGAGCUAAUACCGGAUAAUAUAUUGAACCGCAUGGUUCAAUAGUGAAAGACGGUUUUGCUGUCACUUAUAGAUGGAUCCGCGCCGCAUUAGCUAGUUGGUAAGGUAACGGCUUACCAAGGCAACGAUGCGUAGCCGACCUGAGAGGGUGAUAGGCCACACUGGAACUGAGACACGGUCCAGACUCCUACGGGAGGCAGCAGAAGGGAAUCUUCCGCAAUGGGCGAAAGCUUGACGGAGCAACGCCGCGUGAGUGAUGAAGGUCUUCGGAUCGUAAAACUCUGUUAUUAGGGAAGAACAAAUGUGUAAGUAACUAUGCACGUCUUGACGGUACCUAAUCAGAAAGCCACGGCUAACUACGUG